This 2273-nucleotide unclassified non-coding RNA is filed under the name Hevea brasiliensis (rubber tree). Lineage: Eukaryota; Viridiplantae; Streptophyta; Magnoliopsida; Malpighiales; Euphorbiaceae. The record is from RNAcentral.
AACAAAAUUCCAUCAAAAUUGGUAAAAUAUGUAAGUGAAUUCUAAAAGAGUAUGUAGUUCUGAAAUUUUUUACAAUAGCUGCAUAAUAUAAAAUGAAUUUUUAUGCAUUAAAAUGUAAGAUACUAAAUAUGAGAAUUCACUCUUUAUUGAAUUCAGUUGCAAAUUAAAUGAAUCCCAUAUUCAUUUGAUUCCAAACACAACAUUAGGGAUAAUGGAUUUGAUAUAGAGAACCACUGAACAAUCACUUUGAAUUGAGAAGGUAUUUAUCACCGUACGUUAUGUGAAGGUUCAAUGUUGUGGGAGGUCAUGUGGUAGGUUUUUGGUGUUACUUUGGAUUAAUGAUGUUGGUGUUGUUAUUGAUAUGAUUUGGUUAGAUGUAGAUUGCAGCCUUUGUUCAGGGCACUUAAGUUCAGUUGAGCAACUAAAAUGUUGAAUAGGCCUCAUUCUAUUACUCCCAUAGCUACCCAGAUAACCUUAAUUUCUAAGUACCCUGGCAUUCUGCUGUGUUUAUUAAUUGUAUUCAUUGCAUUAAUCUUCCUCUGUUAUCUCUUACAUUUUUUUCUCUGACUCCACAUAAAAUCCAUUUUAUCCUUAAUUGUAGAAAGUAGUUCUUUUUGUUCAUCUCUUUAUGGCUAUUCAUGGAUUCCCUGUUUUAGUGGUGUUUAGCAUCUGGUGUUUUGGGGGUAUAAACCCUAACCAUGUUGCUUAACCAUCUAAGCCUUUGGGGUCCAAGAUUGUUCCUUUGUAUGCUUUUCAUUUAAAAACUGAUGUUUAAUAUCCAUAGUCAUGGUAAUGCUAAGAUUUUGGAUGUCAUUUAAAGGCAAACUUGUAUGCAUGACCAUAUAUAAAUACGUGCACGGAGGUAUGUUAAAAUCUGUUAACAAGGCAGUCUCUGCUACUGAUGCAUGCUGAUCUCACUUUUUUCAUGUACUUCUGGUGCAUUUUCUUAACAGUGCAUCAUUUCUUCUAUGUGGUGGUACUACAAUUUUGAUUUUUGCAUAUUGAAUUCAGCUAUUUGAUUGCGUCAAUGGGGCUUCAAGUUCUCUGGAGUUUUGGGCUUGCAUGCCUUGAUCUUCAUGCUUUGAGAUCAAAGAGAAACCUGCAAAAUCCUGUCUUAGUGAGCCUAUUUGUUGUUGGUGACUGGGUUACAUCUAUUCUAUCACUUGCAGCUGCGUGUGCAUCAGCUGGAGUAACAGUUUUGUACACAAAAGACUUGCAUUACUGCAACAGACCGCCCUUUUUCCCAUGCAGCAGGUUCCAAAUCUCCAUUGCUUUGGCAUUUAUCUCAUGGUUCCUCCUUGCUAUAUCUUCUCAUAUUAUGUUUUGGCUUUUGGCUAACGUAUGAAUUAAUCAACAUCAACCACAUUGCAAUAUUCUUCAUUUUACCUAGUAAAUAUUGUUAUUUCUGGAACACAUCUGUUUUUCUUGGAAAUGUCAGAACUAUCCCUUUUUAAUAGCAAGUUUCUUAGGCCAACCCAUAUGUUUUGUUGCUAUCUUGUGUUGCAACAGCCUGUUUUGACAAGCUGAAGAUUGAGAAAAUUUGAGAGAAGAAACAUUGUUUUGCUGCUCCAUUUGCUCCUUCUACAUUGAUGAUUGAAAGUAAAUUUUGUUAAUAAGGAAAACACCAUUGUAAUUAGUAAAACUGGCUGUCAAGUUUUUGAAAACCGUCCUUCCCUAGUUCCCCCUCCCUGUACCCUGAACCCAAAAACAAUAAUAAGGAAGCAAAGGAUAGGUUUAGAGACACGGAACCCCCUGCUAUUUGUUUCUUGAUUAAAGCAUUGUACUUGUGAUGCUUGAUGCUAGUCUGUGAUAUGUAGUUGUCCAUUUAAGAAUGUGAAAAGCAAAUUGAAUUUAGUGAAUGAUUGUUGCCUAGCUUCUGCAUGGAUUAAGGUUGAGGUAGAAAAUAGAAAUGAAGGUGACCUGCAGAGUGGUCUUGACACUUUGUGUCACCCUACCCACUUAGUACCUCUAACCUCUAGUGUGGUUGGCAGUCUAAUUUCAACAUAUCCUUGUCCAACUAGUUUGCUAUGCAAGUUGCCAAAGAAUAAUGUAGUUAUUUAUGGCUCUCAGGCUCUGGGUAGCCUGAGGCAGAAGUUAUCACCAUUGCAUUAACAUUCAAUUCAAAUUCUUCAAACUACAAUUAAACUAGUUUAAUGCACUAAAGACUCAAAUUUGUUAUGGUGCCUCUACAAUUAUACCCAUAGAUACCUUGUAAUCUUGUAUUCCUUUUAAUGUGCCUUUGAUAAGAGAUGACACCAUUGGAUCAAGAUUCU